AUUGAACGCUGGCGGCAUGCCUUACACAUGCAAGUCGAACGGUAACAGGUCUUCGGACGCCGACGAGUGGCGAACGGGUGAGUAAUACAUCGGAACGUGCCUAGUAGUGGGGGAUAACUACUCGAAAGAGUGGCUAAUACCGCAUGAGAUCUACGGAUGAAAGCAGGGGAUCGCAAGACCUUGUGCUACUAGAGCGGCCGAUGGCAGAUUAGGUAGUUGGUGGGAUAAAAGCUUACCAAGCCGACGAUCUGUAGCUGGUCUGAGAGGACGAUCAGCCAGACUGGGACUGAGAAACGGCCCAGACUCCUACGGGAGGCAGCAGUGGGGAAUUUUGGACAAUGGGCGCAAGCCUGAUCCAGCAAUGCCGCGUGCAGGAUGAAGGCCUUCGGGUUGUAAACUGCUUUUGUACGGAACGAAAAGCCCCGGGUUAAUACCCUGGGGUCAUGACGGUACCGUAAGAAUAAGCACCGGCUAACUACGUGCCAGCAGCCGCAGUAA
This 498-nucleotide ribosomal RNA is filed under the name uncultured bacterium. RNAcentral describes it as "partial 16S ribosomal RNA". It matches the Rfam family "Bacterial small subunit ribosomal RNA", at positions 30 to 523 of the family's 1533-position model. The record is from RNAcentral.